AGGACGAACGCUGGCGGCGCGCUUAACACAUGCAAGUCGAGCGGUAAGGCCCUUUCGGGGGUACACGAGCGGCGAACGGGUGAGUAACACGUGAGCAAUCUGCCCUUCACUUCGGGAUAAGCCUCGGAAACGGGGUCUAAUACCGGAUAUGACCGCGCUACGCAUGUGGUGUGGUGGAAAGUUCUGGCGGUGGAGGAUGAGCUCGCGGCCUAUCAGCUUGUGGUGGGUAAUGGCCUACAAGGCUUCGACGGGUAGCCGGCCUGGAGAGGGUGACCGGCCACACUGGGACUGAGACACGGCCCAGACUCCGUACGGGAGCAGCGAGGUGGGAAUAGUGGACAAGUGGGACGAAGCCUAGAUCCGAGCGAACGGCCGCGGU
Molecule: ribosomal RNA, 379 nt
Filed under: uncultured soil bacterium
Lineage: Bacteria
Description: bacterial SSU rRNA
Rfam family: Bacterial small subunit ribosomal RNA
Source: RNAcentral